Molecule: ribosomal RNA, 1081 nt
Filed under: uncultured organism
Description: bacterial SSU rRNA
Rfam family: Bacterial small subunit ribosomal RNA
Source: RNAcentral
UCCUGGCUCAGGAUGAACGCUGGCGGUGUGCCUUAGGCAUGCAAGUCGAGCGGCCCGCCUUUGGCGGGCAGCGGCAGACGGGUGAGUAACACGUAGGAAUCUACCUAAGUGUGGGGAAUGGCCCAUCGAAAGGUGGGGUAAUACCGCAUACGCCCUUACGGGUAAAGACUUCGGUCGCAUUUAGAGGAGCCUGCGCGCUAUCAGGUUGUUGGUGAGGUAACGGCUCACCAAGCCUACGACGGCUAGCCGAUGUGAGAGCAUGAUCGGCCACAAGGUUACUGAGACACGGAGCCUACAUCUACGGAUGGCAGCAACCGGGAAUUUUGCGCAAUGGACGAAAGUCUGACGCAGCGACACCGCGUGUGGGAUGACGCUCUUCGGAGUGUAAACCACUGUGGCAGGGGAACAAGAUCUGAGGGUACCCUGCUAGAAAGCACCGGCAAACCACGUGCCAGAAGCUUCGGUAAUACGUGGGGUGCAAGCGUUAUCCGGAUUUACUGGGCGUAAAGCGUACCGUCGGUGUUUUGAUAAGUUUUCUGUCCAAGCCUGGGGCUCAACUCCAGACAGGCAGGAAAAACUAUCAGAAUAGAGUCUGUUAGGGGAAGCUGGAAUUCUCGGUGGAGGGGUGAAAUCCGUAGAUAUCGAGAGGAACGCCAAUCGCGAAGGCAAGCUUCUGGAACAUGACUGACACUCAGGGACGAAAGCUAGGGUAGCAAAGCGGAUUAGAGACCCGUGUAGUCCUAGCCGUAAACAUUGUCCGCUAGUUGUUUCUUUAUCUUUGAUAGGGGAGUGACGUAAGCUAACGCGUUAAGCGGACCGCCUGGGGAGUACGACCGCAAGGUUAAAACUCAAAGGAAUUGACGGGGGAGCGCACAACCGGUGGAGCAUGUGGUUUAAUUCGAUACAAAGCGAAAAACCUUACCUGGGUUUGACAUCCGCCUAUGUCCUCUAGAAAUAGAGUGACUUAGUGGCGUGACAGGUGAUGCAUGGCUGUCGUCAGCUCGUGUCGUGAGACGUCCUCUUAAGUGAGGUAACGAGCGCAACCCUUAUCCUGUGUUAUACGUGUCACGGGAAACUGCCC